GUAUUUAUUGCUGUAGAAAUGAAUAUGUUUUAUAUUCUUGCCAAUUUGAUUCCGUCCUGUAUUUUAUUAAAAUCUUUACAAUAUUAUAAUAUUAUAGUUAAUAUAUUAAAACUACACAAAGGAUUUAUAUCUGAAUGUAUACAAUAUUGUGAUUAAAUGUGUAGCGGGAUAGGGAUAUGCGGUAAAAAGGUAUUGUUAUGCACAGACCAAUGUAAAGUCUAAAUCUUUGUCAUAGGUUGUAGAUCAAAUGAUUUGGAAUUUGUUUUGCACACAAUUUUUUUCACCAUUUGUGGCCUUUUUUAUUUGUUCUGAAUGCAGUUAUGUCUUUCCAAUUGCUCAUAUUUUGUUUUGAAGAUUAUUUAACUUUGGAAUAAUCUUAGUUUUCAUAUCUG
RNAcentral lists this long non-coding RNA (392 nucleotides) under Mytilus galloprovincialis (Mediterranean mussel). The record is from RNAcentral. Lineage: Eukaryota; Metazoa; Mollusca; Bivalvia; Mytilida; Mytilidae.